Long non-coding RNA from Oncorhynchus kisutch (coho salmon), 252 nucleotides. RefSeq lists it as uncharacterized. Lineage: Eukaryota; Metazoa; Chordata; Actinopteri; Salmoniformes; Salmonidae. The record is from RefSeq and is a predicted model, not a curated record. The transcript is spliced from 4 exons.
AUAUUAAUUUAUCUUCCUCUCAGGUGACUGUGUGGACAAUACAGUUGAAAAGCCAAGGAAACUGACAAAUAAUAGGAAGAGAAGCACCAGCACAUCAGAGGAAGAGUUGCCCAAAAAGAGACGUCGAUGUGCAGAUGAGUCAGACGGAGUGCGGACAGUGCAGGUCCCAGACGUGUCGUCCAAGCAGCUGAUGCAGGUGGCUAAGCUGCAGGGGAAGGAGUGGAAGCAGGUGGCUAUCGGUUGCCUGGGCCU